CCGCGUAAUGUCCGGCGGAGGACAUUA
Molecule: ribosomal RNA, 27 nt
Filed under: Trichoderma koningii
Lineage: Eukaryota; Fungi; Ascomycota; Sordariomycetes; Hypocreales; Hypocreaceae
Description: partial 18S ribosomal RNA
Source: RNAcentral